Molecule: long non-coding RNA, 404 nt
Organism: Daphnia magna
Lineage: Eukaryota; Metazoa; Arthropoda; Branchiopoda; Diplostraca; Daphniidae
Exons: 2
Source: RefSeq, a predicted model, not a curated record
CAAAAAGCGGAUAGCCACGCCACCUUUAUUUCCCGUCGCACCACCAAGACCGGUUUUGACCGAGUCGGUGGCCACGUCCCGCACAUCAGCCGCUAAUUCGGGUCGAAUAAAAACGUAGAGACAUACGCCAACAAGUUGAACCUCAGUUGCCCAGGCUUUGGCAUUCUCACUGCUCGCUGCCAUGAUAUUUGAAGCGUUCAAGUCCACGAUUUCUUCGAAACCUACGGCAUAGAUGUCCGCUGACCGCCAACCUUCUUCCUCGCUGAGACAUACCAAUGAUCUAUUUAAACAAAGUAAUAAAAAAAAAAAGGAAAAAAGGAUAGAGAAAUGAACUAGUAAGAACAAAACUGUAGAGUGAUUUAAACCCAAAAGGACAACUCAGAAUAAACAAUUAUUCAAAGAGU